This 1130-nucleotide long non-coding RNA is filed under the name Chrysolophus pictus (golden pheasant). RNAcentral describes it as "lncRNA (ENSCPIG00010003088.1)". The record is from RNAcentral. Lineage: Eukaryota; Metazoa; Chordata; Aves; Galliformes; Phasianidae.
CCAGAGCCCACGGAUGGGAUCAGAGCCUCGCACAAGCAGAGAGCACCAAGAGAUGGGGAUCCACCGGAUCCGGCACCAUCAGCAUCCCAUGGAAUCCAACAUCAGCCAGGUUGAGCAUCCGGCACAGCCAGCACUGCCUGGAUGUCACCAUCCAGCACCACCGGUACCAGGCAGGUUCUGCCAUCCAGCACCACCACCACUGCCUGGGUUCCACCAUCCGGCCCAUUAUCCAGGUUCUGGCAUCACCACCACUGCCUGGGUUCCACCAUCCAGCCCAUUAUCCAGGUUCUGGCAUCACCACCACUGCCUGGGUUCCACCCCCUGGCACUGCCAGCAUCCCAUAUGGGCAGCUUCCAGCUCCAGUAUCUCCCAGUAUCUCCCAGUUCCAGUCUCCCCAUUUCCAGCACUCCCAAUGCCAUCACCUCCCAGCACCCCCAGUCCCAGUAUCUCCCAUUUCCAGCAUAUCCCGAUUUCAGCAUCCUCAUCUGCAGCCUCUCCAGUCCCAGUACUCCCAGUCCCAGUAUUCCCAGUCCCAGUAUUCCCAGUUAGUUCUGAUAUCCUCCAAUUCCAUCACCUCCCACUUCCAGCACCCCCAUUCCCAGUAUCCCCAAUUCCAGCCCCCCCAGCCCCAGUGUUCCCAGUCCCAUCACCUCCCAGUGUCCCCAGUCCCAGCACCCCCAGUCCCAGUAUCUCCCAUUUCCAGCAUAUCCCGAUUUCAGCAUCCUCAUCUGCAGCCUCUCCAGUCCCAGUACUCCCAGUCCCAGUAUUCCCAGUUAGUUCUGAUAUCCUCCAAUUCCAUCACCUCCCACUUCCAGCACCCCCAUUCCCAGUAUCCCCAAUUCCAGCACCCCCAGCCCCAGUGUUCCCAAUCCCAUCACCUCCCAGUACCCCCAAUCCCAGUAUUCCCAAUCCCAUUCCCAGUAUCCCCAAUUCCAGCACCCCCAGACCCAGUGUUCCCAACCCCAUCACCUCCCAGUACCCCCAUUCCCAGUAUUCCCAGUUCCAGCAUCUCCAUUUCCAAUAUCCUCCAAUUCCAUCAUCUCCCAUUCCCAGUAUCCCCCCUUCCAGCACCCCCAUUCCCAGUAUCCCCAAUUCCAGCACCCCCAGCCCCAGUAUUCNNNNNNNNNNNN